CACAGGUGGCUGAAAGGUCAGCAUCCCUCAAACUCAUUUCACUUGUGAUUCAAAAAUCAUAUUGAAAAAUCUGAUCUCCUGAGAGAUGAAAUGCUGGCUGCUGCUGUGCAGGGUUCCUGUGGGCCAACUUGUCCCAGCCAGCUCCUUAGCAUCCUGACUUCCUUCAGGGAGCUGGCAGUUUUACCUUGACUGACCUUGGGCUGGGGUGGUGGAGAGUUUCCAAGAAGUGGAUCAACUUUGUCAGAAGACCUGCCUAAUGUUUUAUUUUUUGCUACAUGUACACAGUGAGCUCAUUUCAUUUUCCAAAUAACUUUACUUAAAGGCUUUGCUCCUCACAGGAGUAGAUGAAGGAAAAGUUACUGGAAUCGAGGUGCUUGUACCAGGAAGAUAAAUGCAAAGCCCUCCCUCUCUCCACCGCUGAGCAGGUCAAAAAAUGAUUGCGUUGGGCGUGAAGGAUUUAUGUCUGCCGUGAGUCAGUCAGAGUAUCGGGGUAAAUCAAGGCUGACAUUUUUAGCAUCUGGGAAAAAAAAAAGCAAUUGCUUUUUAUGUCUACAUUUUGCUCGGCUAAUCAAGGUUGGAUGGCCCCGCAUGCUGUUGUCUUCCAAGGACCCAGCGACUCAGGAACUCAGACUGUUUCAUUCUUGCAACUCUGACAUUUCAGUUUCAUUUGACCGCAAAUAGAUGCACAGAGGCAAAGAGAU
Molecule: long non-coding RNA, 701 nt
Organism: Zalophus californianus (California sea lion)
Lineage: Eukaryota; Metazoa; Chordata; Mammalia; Carnivora; Otariidae
Exons: 4
Source: RefSeq, a predicted model, not a curated record